RNAcentral lists this long non-coding RNA (262 nucleotides) under Lathyrus oleraceus (garden pea). RNAcentral describes it as "Pisum sativum (pea) long non-coding RNA (PSAT_LNC038969)". The record is from RNAcentral. Lineage: Eukaryota; Viridiplantae; Streptophyta; Magnoliopsida; Fabales; Fabaceae.
AAUUAUGUUUUGUUUAUGUGUAUCAGAUGAAAAUUUAUUUGUGUUAUGUACCAUAUGACGAGAUUUAAACCAUGCAAUCGAUAUACAACAAUGACGUACAUAAAUUCAGAUGUUACAAAAAUGUCAUAUAUAAAUAAAAGACCAAUAAAUGUAAAAAAAAAAUCAAGAACAACGAUAAAGUAGCAUGAUGUCAAAAUAAAAUACAAUCUAUAUUAUAUACUACUGCACUACUGUUUAUGUCAGACUACAUAUCCUCUGCCUC